Molecule: ribosomal RNA, 301 nt
Filed under: uncultured bacterium
Lineage: Bacteria
Description: partial 16S ribosomal RNA
Rfam family: Bacterial small subunit ribosomal RNA
Source: RNAcentral
CAGCAGCCGCGGUAAUACGGAGGGUGCAAGCGUUAAUCGGAAUUACUGGGCGUAAAGCGUGCGUAGGCGGUUUGUUAAGUCUGCUGUGAAAUCCCCGGGCUCAACCUGGGAAUGGCAGUGGAUACUGGCAAGCUAGAGUGUGUCAGAGGAUGGUGGAAUUCCCGGUGUAGCGGUGAAAUGCGUAGAGAUCGGGAGGAACAUCAGUGGCGAAGGCGGCCAUCUGGGACAACACUGACGCUGAGGCACGAAAGCGUGGGGAGCAAACAGGAUUAGAUACCCCGGUAGUCCCUGUCUCUUAUAC